GAUGAACGCUGGCGGUAUGCUUAACACAUGCAAGUCGUACGAAGAUCUUUGAUCUUAGUGGCGGACGGGUGAGUAACACGUGAGAAUCUGCCCUUAGGAAGAGGAUAACAGCUGGAAACGGUUGCUAAUACUCUAUACGCCGAGAGGUAAAAGGAUUUAUCCACCUUAGGAAGAGCUCGCGUCUGAUUAGCUUGUUGGUAAGGUAAUGGCUUACCAAGGCGACGAUCAGUAGCUGGUUUGAGAGGACGACCAGCCACACUGGGACUGAGACACGGCCCAGACUCCUACGGGAGGCAGCAGUGGGGAAUUUUCCGCAAUGGGCGAAAGCCUGACGGAGCAAUACCGCGUGAGGGAUGAAAGCCUGUGGGUUGUAAACCUCUUUUCUCAAGGAAGAAGUUCUGACGGUACUUGAGGAAUAAGCAUCGGCUAACUCUGUG
This 437-nucleotide ribosomal RNA is filed under the name uncultured bacterium. Its description in RNAcentral is "bacterial SSU rRNA". It matches the Rfam family "Bacterial small subunit ribosomal RNA", at positions 28 to 507 of the family's 1533-position model. The record is from RNAcentral.